Long non-coding RNA from Aedes aegypti (yellow fever mosquito), 391 nucleotides. RefSeq lists it as uncharacterized. The record is from RefSeq and is a predicted model, not a curated record. Lineage: Eukaryota; Metazoa; Arthropoda; Insecta; Diptera; Culicidae. The transcript has 2 exons.
ACUUAAUCGUAGAAUUUCAUCUCGGUAAACUUAAAUGACGAAUUCAGCCGGUAAAACAUAUUUUUACCGAAAUCUCGUUCAAUUUUGACAGAUGAGCGAUAUUGACAGAUGCAAAUUGACGAAAAUCGGUAGUUUGCAUAAAUAACUGAGACUCGGUAAUCUAUUUUACCAAAACAAUCAGCAAACAAAUACUUUUACUGAAUUUCGGCAAAGUGCAUCUGUCAACGCCGAAAAAUCAGAGCUGCAGAAACCAACAUGAGCUCGAAAUGUUUUAAAACGUUCGUGGAAAGAGGGAAAGCGCCUACAUGAAUAUUCCCCGGGAAGUGCUUGAAACAAUCGAAGUGCAGCGAAAGUGGUUGUGCUGCUAUCAUUUGUUUCAAAAAGAAAAGCA